This is a long non-coding RNA of Eucalyptus grandis, 968 nucleotides long. RefSeq lists it as uncharacterized. The record is from RefSeq and is a predicted model, not a curated record. NCBI's taxonomy places the organism in Eukaryota, Viridiplantae, Streptophyta, Magnoliopsida, Myrtales, Myrtaceae. The transcript is spliced from 2 exons.
CAACACUUCCCUCUUUCUUUCCUUUCUUUUCCCUUUCCUUUUCCUUUUCUUUCUCUUCCCUUAGCCAAAAAACCCUUGUCUCCUUUCUGAUGAAGCUGCAGUCCUCUAUUUCGGCUUCCUCAUGGCUGACCAGCUCAAAAUAGCAGCAAUAAAACAGAGGAGUCCCCUAUUUCGGUGCUGCCAAAGCUAGAGUAGCAACCAUCCCUAACCUGAACUGCCCUUCAUGUUCCACUUCUCUCUGUCUUGGGAUUCAUUUGAGAACCAAAUCCCCUCGCCAGUAAGCCAACAACUCACCUGAACAGGCGCCACUCUAGUUUCUCUAUACUGAAAAUUCUGCAGCUCUGUCCGUUCGUGUCACAACCGCACCUCAGCACACCCCUCCUCUGUUGCAGCCCAACUUCACCACCGAAGGACCCAAAACCUUCCCCUGUGUUGCUGUCCAGCCACCAGCAAGCAAGCUAGCGCCAUCAUGUCGCAGCCGCGCCCUUGCGGUUACAAGUUCUUCAUCGCUCGGCUUCCACCGGUUGAGAGCCAGCCCUCUCCGUCGUGAGCCAAGGGCUUCCCAGCCCUAUUCCAAGCUGACCGGAGCUACUCUGGUGUCCCUAGAGGUCACAGAUUGGAUGUUGCUGCUCAAUCAACAAGUGCAACCUUAGGUUUUCUUAGUAGUUUUUGAAGCCGGACGAUGCUCCUUCAGGAAUGCCCCAACUCAAUGGAUGCCGGUCGCAGUGGAGGCUGGACUGAUUCUCCUAAUCGGAAUGCCGUCUAGAUGUAAACGUUGCCGUGCUCGAUGAUGCGAGACGAUACCCGGUCAUAUCAGAAGACUGCUAUAUGUUGUUUUGGUUGUGGCUAAUGUAUUGAAAUCAUUUUACACGUAUGAAUGAUCGAAAGAGAGGGACCUAAUUAGGAGAUGGAAUUGUGUGGUGAGGUAUGGGACAUGCCAUAACAAUUUAGUCUGGUAAUUGAGGGCA